ACAGCAGCCGCCGCGGUAAUACGAGGGGGGCAAGCGUUGUUCGGAAUUAUUGGGCGUAAAGGGUGCGUAGGCGGUUUGACAAGUCUUAUGUGAAAUCUUCGGGCUCAACCCGAAGUCUGCAUGAGGAACUGUUGAGUUUGAGUAUGGGAGAGGUGAGUGGAAUUUCCGGCGUAGCGGUGAAAUGCGUAGAUAUCGGAAGGAACACCUGUGGCGAAAGCGGCUCACUGGACAAUAACUGACACUGAUGCACGAAAGCUAGGGGAGCAAACAGGAUUAGAUACCCGAGUAGUCCCUGUCUCUUAUAA
This 305-nucleotide ribosomal RNA is filed under the name uncultured bacterium. RNAcentral describes it as "partial 16S ribosomal RNA". It matches the Rfam family "Bacterial small subunit ribosomal RNA", at positions 508 to 809 of the family's 1533-position model. The record is from RNAcentral.